CAUAAUCACUUGNUUCUUUAAAUGGGGACUCGUAUCAACGGCAUCACGAGGGUUCUACUGUCUCCUUUCUCUAAUCAGUGAAACUAAUCUCCCCGUGAAGAAGCGAGGAUAACACUAUAAGACGAGAAGACCCCAUGGAGCUUUAAACCCAAUUAUAUCCCUAACCCCUAUACCCAUUUAACCUCUU
This 187-nucleotide ribosomal RNA is filed under the name Mantidactylus femoralis. RNAcentral describes it as "partial 16S ribosomal RNA". The record is from RNAcentral. Lineage: Eukaryota; Metazoa; Chordata; Amphibia; Anura; Mantellidae.